UGGUGGAGUGAUUUGUCUGGUUAAUUCCGUUAACGAACGAGACCUCGACCUGCUAAAUAGUACUUUGAACCGCCUCGCUGCGGUUCUUUGUUUACUUCUUAGAGGGACUAUCGGUGUAUAGCCGGUGGAAGUUCGAGGCAAUAACA
RNAcentral lists this ribosomal RNA (146 nucleotides) under uncultured eukaryote. RNAcentral describes it as "partial 18S ribosomal RNA". It matches the Rfam family "Eukaryotic small subunit ribosomal RNA", at positions 1299 to 1458 of the family's 1831-position model. The record is from RNAcentral.